RNAcentral lists this long non-coding RNA (509 nucleotides) under Zostera marina. Its description in RNAcentral is "long non-coding RNA (ZMAR_LNC000480)". Lineage: Eukaryota; Viridiplantae; Streptophyta; Magnoliopsida; Alismatales; Zosteraceae. The record is from RNAcentral.
AAUUACUGAACAAAGUUUUAAAGUACCUAACACUAUUCUCCUCUAAUAGAGCCCUAGAGGUGGUUUGAAUUCCAUUUGUAUUGAGAAUUUUAGAGGUUGAAUUUUUAGAUCUCCUUAGCUUUGUGGCGAUACUAAAGAAUCUGUUGUUUUUGUCUCCUAAUUUUAACUAAGAGACCUUACUCCUUUGUUUCAGAUCUGCCUCCUCUUUUGCCAUAAACUCCUUUAAUCUUUCCCUUAUUUUUGUACUCUCCUCUUGGAGCGGGAUAGAUAAGGGAUUCUUUUCCAAAGCUUCAACUGAGCUAUUCAGAUCAAUCCUUGCCUGGGCUACUCUCUUCGUUGAAUGCCUUUUUUCUGCUGCCCAUUGCUUAGAAAGUACCUUAACUUCCUUAAGUUUUUACUGUAACUUAUACAAUCCAGUUCCAUGUAUUUGCUUUGUUAGGCCUGUCUUAACUAUCUCUACAUAUGAGGGAUCCUCCAGCCAAGAGUUAAAUAGCCUAAACGGCUUAGCU